This 2842-nucleotide unclassified non-coding RNA is filed under the name Hevea brasiliensis (rubber tree). Lineage: Eukaryota; Viridiplantae; Streptophyta; Magnoliopsida; Malpighiales; Euphorbiaceae. The record is from RNAcentral.
CUAGAAUUAGCUUGCGUCAAACAUUCUGCUAAUGAUCUAUAUAUUACCAAUGCCUCAAAAGACCUGCCUAAAUUAAUAUAGACAAGCAUCUCUUAUUAGUAGAUCUUGAAAAUUAUUGAAUCAGUUCAUUGAGAUAAAGCUAGAAAGACCUUCAGAAAUUAUUAGACGAUGCACACAGCUAACAAGUGAACUUGGCAGUCAAAGAUGAAUGAACUAGACAAGGCAAGACCACAUAAAACUCCAUCAACAUCAAGUGUUUAAUUCUUCUAAUACAACACACAUUUUGGUCACUUAAAAUUGCACGAUGAAUAAUUUAGCUCCUGCUCAUGAUAUUCCUCACUUCUUGGUGAUGUUCAAAUCUAAAGUGCUCGUUCCACCAUCACAUCAACCAGAUGCUCACUAUAGAACUGCAUCAACCAGAUGCCCACCGUCCUAGUUUUCCAAGUCCUUGAAAAAUGGCUUCAAAAGCCUGGCAAACAACUCUGACUAAAACCUCCAGCGUGUUUAUUAAUGAGAUCUGCUUCUGCUAAUGUUAAGUUUGGCAACCCAGUAGUCAAGUUGACCAGCAACACAAGCAGAACCUGUGGAACCAUAUGAGCAGAAUUUCUUAACAGCAUUUUCUGCUCCAACGUACUCAUAUACAUCCUCCUCAAAAAUUGGACUUAUACUUCUCAAGUCAUCAAGACUUAGAUCCUCAAGCUGACAGUUCUUUGAAACACACAAGGCAACAGACCUUCCAACUAUAUCAUGGGAAGUUCUGAAAGGCAUUCCCUUCUUCACAAGAUAGUCAGCAAGUGUUGUGGCAUCAAGAUGGCCAGCUGGCAAAGCCUUUUUAAUUCUCGCAUGAUUAAAGGUAAUGUUCUGUGCAAAUUCGGCUGAAACUUCAAGCAUCCCUAUAACUGUCUUCACGCUGUCGAAUACAGGUUCCUUAUCUUCCUGCAAAUCACGAUUAUAAGCAAGUGGAAGCCCUUUGCACAAUGUGAGGAGAGUAACCAGGUCUCCAACGACUCUAGCAGACUUUCCUCGAACAAGUUCCAUGGGAUCUGGAUUUUUCUUCUGAGGCAUUAUGCUGCUUCCAGUUGAAACACAAUCACUUGGUGUGAUAAACCCAAACUCCUCUGAUGCCCACAAAACCCAUUCCUCACCCAGCCGAGAAAGAUGAAUGGCUGUGAUGGAAUUAGCGGAAAGAAACUCCAAGACAAAAUCUCGGUCUGAGACAGCAUCAAUACUACGAAAAAAAAUUAAGCAUAACCAACUACCCAUGGAAGCUAGAUACCAAGAAUUACACAAGAUAAUAGGAUAUAUUAUCUCAAUGAGACACAAAUAAAAUAGUCCACCAAUCCACAGUUGGCAGACUUGGCAGGGACAAUAACUGAUAUCAUAUGGAGACACAGAUAAAAUGUUGCCUUCUCAAAAGCAUUUUAUUUUACCUCUAGAUCUAGUGCUAAAUCAGAUGCAUAAAAAUUAAAAAGUGUGACAAAAAAAAUUGAAAAGCUUUCACAAAGAAAGCAUUAACCAUCAAGCAAAAGCUUGCAAUUAGACCAUCAGAACGAUGCCAUAGAGAAUCAUUACAGAACCAUCAACGUGUAGCCAUAGUUGUAUCACAUGAUGUGUAAGUAAGAAGAGCAAAAGGAAGAAGAGACUUGGGUAUAUAAAUCAGAAACCAAUAACAGAGGCCUUGCCCAAAGAACAACAAAAAAAAAUGCCAUUUCAUUUGCAAUCGAUGCUAUUUUUUAGACUCCCCAUGGACUGAGGAACCAAAAUAUAUUUAUGGUUGUUGCUAGAUGGCCAAAAAUGCCAAAUUUGACAUCACAUAAAGCAAAAUUAUCAAAGAUUGUAUGCAUACCUGUUCCUCAAUGGAGCAGUGAAUCCUAGAGAAUUAGAAGUCAUAAACCUAUCAAUGGGUAGACCAGUGCCAGCCAAUGCACAUGCACCAAGGGGGCAGAAGUUCAGCCUAGCUCUACAAUCGAUCAAACGAUCAGCAUCACGAUCAAGCUACAAGACAACAUCACAGAAAGUUUAAUUUAUCUUCUGUGAAGACACCAGGAGUAAUUUAAAUAAAAUCACUUAAGAAAAGUUUUGGUUUGUAAUAACAAUGUUGGUAAUUUAUUCCAAAGUAAACAAACCUAUAAUUUGAUAUUUAAGGAGUCUAAAGAAAUUUCCAGUUGAAGAUUUUUCCAUGGAUGAUUAUAGGGUGCAUGUCCUUUGCUCUUUUGUUAGCUAACAUAGUAAAUCCUUCUACUGUGAGCUUGGAUCUUAUAAACAUGAAAGAGAUAUUUUCGCCAGCAACUAAAAUCAAUAAGCCCCAAUUACAAAUCCCUGCCAGAUCAUCAAAAUCUUGUUUCUUAGCAAACAAAUGAGCAAGAGCAUUAGAAAAUAAAUAUACAGAAUAAUGAGCACCUGCUCAACAUAAGCCAACAGAAGAUGUGGCAAUAAAACAGGCUGCGCCCGUUGCAAAUGUGUAUAACCAGGAACAAUGAGUCCCUCCUCGUUCAAAGCCAAAGUCACUAGUGCAACUUGUAGAUGUUUGAUAGAUGCAGUGACUCUAUCAAUUGCAUCACGACACCACAAACGAAAAUCAGUCAAAACUUGAUCAUUUCUGCUCCGAGCUGUAUGAAGCUUUUUCGCUGGCUCACCAAUCAUAUCAGUAAGUGCAGCCUCAAUGUUCAUGUGCACAUCCUCCCUGUCUGUUCUCCACACAAAUUCACCAGCUUCAAUGCGUCUCUGAAUCUCAUCAAGACCUUGUAGAAUGCUAUCCCUAUCACUGAUACUUAUCAAUCCCUGUUGGGACAGCAUAGAAGCAUGGGCCUUGCUACCCAUUAUAUCAUGCUUAUAGAGCUGC